Molecule: ribosomal RNA, 301 nt
Filed under: uncultured bacterium
Lineage: Bacteria
Description: partial 16S ribosomal RNA
Rfam family: Bacterial small subunit ribosomal RNA
Source: RNAcentral
CAGUCGCCGCGGUAAUACGAAGGGUGCAAGCGUUAAUCGGAAUUACUGGGCGUAAAGCGUGCGUAGGCGGUUUGUUAAGUCUGUUGUGAAAUCCCCGGGCUCAACCUGGGAAUGGCGAUGGAUACUGGCAAGCUAGAGUGUGUCAGAGGAUGGUGGAAUUCCCGGUGUAGCGGUGAAAUGCGUAGAGAUCGGGAGGAACAUCAGUGGCGAAGGCGGCCAUCUGGGACAACACUGACGCUGAGGCACGAAAGCGUGGGGAGCAAACAGGAUUAGAUACCCCGGUAGUCCCUGUCUCUUAUAC